RNAcentral lists this ribosomal RNA (524 nucleotides) under uncultured bacterium. RNAcentral describes it as "partial 16S ribosomal RNA". It matches the Rfam family "Bacterial small subunit ribosomal RNA", at positions 28 to 523 of the family's 1533-position model. The record is from RNAcentral.
GACGAACGCUGGCGGCGUGCUUAACACAUGCAAGUCGAACGGACAGACAGAGAGCUUGCUCUCUUGAAGUUAGUGGCGAACGGGUGAGUAACGCGUAAUCAACCUGCCCUUCAGAGGGGGAUAACAACGGGAAACCGUUGCUAAUACCGCGUACGAUUCAUGAACGGCAUCGUUUAUGAAUGAAAGGUGGCCUCUAUGUAUAAGCUAUCGCUGAAGGAGGGGAUUUGGUCUGAUUAGCUAGUUGGAGGGGUAACGGCCGACCAAGGCAAUGAUCAGUAGCCGGUCUGAGAGGAUGAGCGGCCACAUUGGGACUGAGACACGGCCCAAACUCCUACGGGAGGCAGCAGUGGGGAAUCUUCCGCAAUGGACGAAAGUCUGACGGAGCAACGCCGCGUGAGUGAUGAAGGUCUUCGGAUUGUAAAGCUCUGUUAAUCGGGACGAAAGAGUUCUGCGUGAAUAAUGCAGAAAAGUGACGGUACCGGAAUAGAAAGCCACGGCUAACUACGUGCCAGCCGCCGCCGUAA